UCCCUGGUGGUCCAGUGGUUAGGACUCUGUGCCCUGACUGCCGAGGUCACGGGUUCAAUCCCCGGUUGGGGAA
Balaenoptera acutorostrata (minke whale) is the source of this 73-nucleotide non-coding RNA. Lineage: Eukaryota; Metazoa; Chordata; Mammalia; Artiodactyla; Balaenopteridae. The record is from the annotation of a RefSeq genome assembly.